AUGCAUCCCUUCAGAUUUUACCGCACCAAGGUGACUACACAAUUUUUUGAUAUCUAUCGGCUGACAUUGGUGUUCAUCCAGGAGGCAAGCGGCAGCAUAUACGUACAUUUACUGACAUUGAAGUUCAUCCAGGAUAGAUGUAGUAGGAGUAGACCAAAGGAAAUGAAUGUCAACCUGAAUGGAUCAACGUCUGGUGUGGUCAGAGCAGUCGGCCGCGGUGGUGCUAGAUGCCAGGCUAUGGCCGAGGGGAACAGGCGAACAGUCAAGAUGGUUCCGUCCGAGAACAAGGAAGACAGCGGGAAGGAGGCGGUACACUAA
Molecule: ribosomal RNA, 318 nt
Filed under: Triticum aestivum (bread wheat)
Lineage: Eukaryota; Viridiplantae; Streptophyta; Magnoliopsida; Poales; Poaceae
Description: partial small subunit ribosomal RNA
Source: RNAcentral